CCUACGGGUGGCUGCAGUGGGGAAUAUUGCACAAUGGGGGAAACCCUGAUGCAGCCACGCCGCGUGGGUGAAGGAGCGUUUCGGCGCGUAAAGCUCUGUCAGCGGGGAAGAAGAAAGACGGUACCCGACCACGAAGCCCCGGCUAACUACGUGCCAGCAGCUGCGGUCAUACGUAGGGGGCGAGCGUUAUCCGGAAUUACUGGGUGUAAGGGGAGCGUAGACGGGAGGGUAAGCCUGAAGUGGAAGCCCGCGGCCCAACCGCGGAACUGCCUUGGGAACUGUUUUGCUGGAGUAUGGGAGGGGUAAGCGGAAUGCGUGGUGUAGCGGUGAAAUGCGUAGAUAUCAGGAGGAACACCGGUGGCGAAGGCGGCUUACUGGACCAUAACUGACGUUGAGGCUCGAAAGCGUGGGGAGCGAACAGGAUUAGAUACCCCUGUAGUC
This 441-nucleotide ribosomal RNA is filed under the name uncultured bacterium. Its description in RNAcentral is "partial 16S ribosomal RNA". It matches the Rfam family "Bacterial small subunit ribosomal RNA", at positions 338 to 795 of the family's 1533-position model. The record is from RNAcentral.